CCUACGGGUGGCAGCAGUGAGGAAUAUUGGUCAAUGGGCGCGAGCCUGAACCAGCCAAGUAGCGUGAAGGAUGACUGCCCUACGGGUUGUAAACUUCUUUUAUAAAGGAAUAAAGUGAGGCACGUGUGCCUUUUUGUAUGUACUUUAUGAAUAAGGAUCGGCUAACUCCGUGCCAGCAGCCGCGGUAAUACGGAGGAUCCGAGCGUUAUCCGGAUUUAUUGGGUUUAAAGGGUGCGUAGGCGGAUCGUUAAGUCAGUGGUCAAAUUGAGGGGCUCAACCCCUUCCCGCCAUUGAAACUGGCGCUCUUGAGUGGAAGAGAAGUAUGCGGAAUGCGUGGUGUAGCGGUGAAAUGCAUAGAUAUCACGCAGAACCCCGAUUGCGAAGGCAGCUUACUAAACUGCCACUGACAUUGAUGCUCGAAAGUGUGGGUAUCAAACAGGAUUAGAUAUCCCAGUAGUC
RNAcentral lists this ribosomal RNA (459 nucleotides) under uncultured bacterium. RNAcentral's name for it is "partial 16S ribosomal RNA". It matches the Rfam family "Bacterial small subunit ribosomal RNA", at positions 338 to 795 of the family's 1533-position model. The record is from RNAcentral.